RNAcentral lists this ribosomal RNA (492 nucleotides) under uncultured bacterium. Its description in RNAcentral is "partial 16S ribosomal RNA". It matches the Rfam family "Bacterial small subunit ribosomal RNA", at positions 29 to 507 of the family's 1533-position model. The record is from RNAcentral.
AGUGAACGCUGGCGGUAGGCCUAACACAUGCAAGUCGAACGGCAGCACAGUAAGAGCUUGCUCUUACGGGUGGCGAGUGGCGGACGGGUGAGGAAUACAUCGGAAUCUACUUUUUCGUGGGGGAUAACGUAGGGAAACUUACGCUAAUACCGCAUACGACCUACGGGUGAAAGCAGGGGAUCUUCGGACCUUGCGCGAUUGAAUGGGCCGAUGUCGGAUUAGCUAGUUGGCGGGGUAAAGGCCCACCAAGGCGACGAUCCGUAGCUGGUCUGAGAGGAUGAUCAGCCACACUGGAACUGAGACACGGUCCAGACUCCUACGGGAGGCAGCAGUGGGGAAUAUUGGACAAUGGGCGCAAGCCUGAUCCAGCCAUACCGCGUGGGUGAAGAAGGCCUUCGGGUUGUAAAGCCCUUUUGUUGGGAAAGAAGAGCAGCAGGUUAAUACCCCGCUGUUCUGACGGUACCCAAAGAAUAAGCACCGGCUAACUUCGUG